This is a long non-coding RNA of Vigna unguiculata (cowpea), 1958 nucleotides long. RefSeq lists it as uncharacterized. NCBI's taxonomy places the organism in Eukaryota, Viridiplantae, Streptophyta, Magnoliopsida, Fabales, Fabaceae. The record is from RefSeq and is a predicted model, not a curated record.
UACCUGGUUGUUCAGAGAAUAUCACGCGUCUAAAGUUGGAAAUCUCAACCGUUCAUUCCACUAAAACAACCCUAUAUAAUCACUGGUGUGUUUCCCUUAUUCCCAAUUCAAUUUCUCCCCUUUCAAUUCAAUAGUUCUCUCAUUCCUCUCCUACCUAUCACCUAUCAAGAGUUUGGAUUUCCUAUUCGUGACCUGGUUUUCACAUGGAUCAGAUUCCGAUCUACUCGCCAACCGUUCUUUUCCUACAAAUUGAUUUUCCAAGAUUUGAAGCCCUAUGCACCGAUCUACCGUUCAGAGGUGUGAUGAUCGUGUUCGUGUUGCUUGUUUCGUGAAGGCCCGAUGAAUAUAGAGCAGAUGGCCAGAACAAAAUUACCAGGUGCAGCGCUUCAUUUGUUCCUCUGUGGAGUUCUUCGCUUUCGGAUUCUUGAGGGGAAAUGUUCGGUGUAUGUUGUAGAAUGAAUAUUUGGGGAUGAAGUGGUUAAGGUGAAUUUUGUCAACCGACCUUUGCCAUGACAGGUGCGCUUGCAUGGCAGGUCAAUCAAAAUUAAUAAAAGAAAAUUAUUUGUGGGUUUUGGGGGAGAUCGCACGGGAAUUCCCGGGUUCUCCCUCUGGUGUGGUGGCGUGUGUCUGUGUUUCUUUUCCUUCUUUCUCCCUUCCCUUAUAUCUUUCUUUUCCUCUCACUCUCCUUGCGACGGAUACACCACCACUGGACUCGCUUCGUCAUCGAUCUAAUGAGGUAUCGUCUAAUCUAUCAGUUUAACUUCACAUUUAUAAUAACGCCUUUCUUUUUUCGUAACAUAGUCCACAUACGAAUAACAACUACCAAAAUCAAUGCAAUUGCAAACAUUGAAACAGGUAAUUCGUAGUAUAUCUCUCGAAAGGGUGAAUUAGUAAUUGAAGUAUACUAAGAUGUUAAUUCUAAUUUUGACCGUUUUCUUGUAUUUACUGGGAAUAUCUAACAGCUUGGAUGAUAGAUUCGUAAUAGCAACAUUGAUCCUUCGGUCGACUUCUAUAAUAACUAAUCGAGAGGCGAAACUACUAGUUAGUUAACACUUGUUUGAUAUUUUUCCUCUGUUAACUUAAAUUUCCCCUACGCUAUUACUACGAGUAUCAUUUCCGAUUUUAGUUCUUAUCAUUAAUUGUAACCCAAAAUCUGUUCUCCUUCACUUUUAGCAUUUCAAUUUCCCACAAUGCAUAGAUUUUUCUGUAGAUAUACUCGUUCGAUUGAAGUCUCCGCAGCCGGAAGGGUGUGAAUGUUUCACCGUAUCAAAUAUUGCAGUGAACUUCCUCAGCUUGACUAGAAAGAAUUGCAAGGUCUCAGGUGUUCAAAAGGCUAAAUUCAAGGGAACGUUUCAAUAUAUGUUGUUAUUCAUCAAUAUUUUGAGACAUGUUUUUAGUGAAUUUGGGAACUGUUCCACAACAAACUGUUGUGGUGAGCAUGAAUAUUCAAUCAAGAUGACUUCCGCAAAUGGGGUUGAGAAAUUCAUUUGACUGAAAGACUUUGGAUUGUGAUAGUUGAAGAUGCGUGCUCUUUUGAUUCAAGAAGGCCUCUCAAAGCUUUAGAAGGUGAAUCCAAACUUUGCAUCAAUGGUUGAGAAGGACAAGAAAAUGUUACAGAAGGCUCACUUCACAAUUAUGUUGAGCCUUGGUAAUAAGGUGUUAAGACAAGAGCCUUGAUGGAGAAGACUGCAAUAUAGAACUUUGAACGAAGCUCAAGAUCUUGCAUAUGAUCAUGUCCUUGGUGAAUCGCAUCUUGUAUAGUCUUACAAGAUGAGUAAGUCAAAAGACGAUUAGCAAACAAUUGGACGAGUUUAACAAAUUAAUUCUAGAUUUGUAUGUAGAUUAAUGAUGAGGAUCAAAAACUGUUGUUAGUGUGUUCAUUGCUCAAAAUGCAUGAUCACUUUAAAGAGACCUUGUUGUAUGGAAGAUAGACUUUCUCUAAAAGAAGUUUUAAGGAA